UGGGGAAUAUUGGACAAUGGGCGAAAGCCUGAUCCAGCCAUGCCGCGUGUGUGAAGAAGGUCUUCGGAUUGUAAAGCACUUUAAGUUGGGAGGAAGGGCAUUAACCUAAUACGUUAGUGUUAUGACGUUACCGACAGAAUAAGCACCGGCUAACUCUGUGCCAGCAGCCGCGGUAAUACAGAGGGUGCAAGCGUUAAUCGGAAUUACUGGGCGUAAAGCGCGCGUAGGUGGUUUGUUAAGUUGGAUGUGAAAUCCCCGGGCUCAACCUGGGAACUGCAUUCAAAACUGACUGACUAGAGUAUGGUAGAGGGUGGUGGAAUUUCCUGUGUAGCGGUGAAAUGCGUAGAUAUAGGAAGGAACACCAGUGGCGAAGGCGACCACCUGGACUAAUACUGACACUGAGGUGCGAAAGCGUGGGGAGCAAACA
Molecule: ribosomal RNA, 427 nt
Filed under: uncultured bacterium
Lineage: Bacteria
Description: partial 16S ribosomal RNA
Rfam family: Bacterial small subunit ribosomal RNA
Source: RNAcentral